UGCGUAGGUGGUCGGGUAAGUCUGAUGUGAAAUCUCCGAGCUUAACUCGGAAAUGGCAUUGGAUACUAUUCGGCUAGAGGGUUUGAGGGGGGACUGGAAUACUUGGUGUAGCAGUGAAAUGCGUAGAUAUCAAGUGGAACACCAGUGGCGAAGGCGAGUCCCUGGAAAACUCCUGACACUGAGGCACGAAAGCUAGGGGAGCAAACA
This 207-nucleotide ribosomal RNA is filed under the name uncultured bacterium. Its description in RNAcentral is "partial 16S ribosomal RNA". It matches the Rfam family "Bacterial small subunit ribosomal RNA", at positions 568 to 774 of the family's 1533-position model. The record is from RNAcentral.